GAUGAACGCUGGCGGCGUGCCUAAUACAUGCAAGUCGAGCGAACAGACGAGGAGCUUGCUCCUCUGACGUUAGCGGCGGACGGGUGAGUAACACGUGGAUAACCUACCUAUAAGACUGGGAUAACUUCGGGAAACCGGAGCUAAUACCGGAUAAUAUAUUGAACCGCAUGGAUCAAUAGUGAAAGACGGUUUUGCUGUCACUUAUAGAUGGAUCCGCGCCGCAUUAGCUAGUUGGUAAGGUAACGGCUUACCAAGGCAACGAUGCGUAGCCGACCUGAGAGGGUGAUCAGCCACACUGGAACUGAGACACGGUCCAGACUCCUACGGGAGGCAGCAGUAGGGAAUCUUGCGCAAUGGGCGAAAGCCUGACGGAGCAACGCCGCGUGAGUGAUGAAGGUCUUCGGAUCGUAAAACUCUGUUAUUAGGGAAGAACAAAUGUGUAAGUAACUAUGCACGUCUUGACGGUACCUAAAGAGAAAGCCACGGCUAACUACGUG
RNAcentral lists this ribosomal RNA (497 nucleotides) under uncultured bacterium. RNAcentral describes it as "partial 16S ribosomal RNA". It matches the Rfam family "Bacterial small subunit ribosomal RNA", at positions 28 to 507 of the family's 1533-position model. The record is from RNAcentral.